This 471-nucleotide ribosomal RNA is filed under the name uncultured soil bacterium. Its description in RNAcentral is "bacterial SSU rRNA". It matches the Rfam family "Bacterial small subunit ribosomal RNA", at positions 26 to 518 of the family's 1533-position model. The record is from RNAcentral.
AGGACGAACGCUGGCGGCGUGCUUAACACAUGCAAGUCGAGCGGUAAGGCCUUUCGGGGUACACGAGCGGCGAACGGGUGAGUAACACGUGGGUGAUCUGCCCUGCACUUCGGGAUAAGCCUGGGAAACCGGGUCUAAUACCGGAUAUGACCUCAGGUUGCAUGACUUGGGGUGGAAAGAUUUAUCGGUGCAGGAUGGGCCCGCGGCCUAUCAGCUUGUUGGUGGGGUAAUGGCCUACCAAGGCGACGACGGGUAGCCGACCUGAGAGGGUGACCGGCCACACUGGGACUGAGACACGGCCCAGACUCCUACGGGAGGCAGCAGUGGGGAAUAUUGCACAAUGGGCGAAAGCCUGAUGCAGCGACGCGCGUGAGGGAUGACGGCCUUGGGUGUAAACUCUCUCAGCAGGACGAAGCGCAAGUGACGGUACCUGCAGAAGAAGCAACCGGCUAACUACGCGCCAGCAGCAGC